This 460-nucleotide ribosomal RNA is filed under the name uncultured bacterium. Its description in RNAcentral is "partial 16S ribosomal RNA". It matches the Rfam family "Bacterial small subunit ribosomal RNA", at positions 338 to 795 of the family's 1533-position model. The record is from RNAcentral.
CCUACGGGAGACAGCAGUGAGGAAUAUUAGUCAAUGGACGAGAGUCUGAACCAGCCAAGUAGCGUGAAGGAUGACUGCCCUAUGGGUUGUAAACUUCUUUUAUAAAGGAAUAAAACGAGGCACGUGUGCCUUUUUGCAUGUACUUUAUGAAUAAGGAUCGGCUAACUCCGUGCCAGCAGCCGCGGUAAUACGGAGGAUCCGAGCGUUAUCCGGAUUUAUUGGGUUUAAAGGGAGCGUAGAUGGGUUGUUAAGUCAGUUGUGAAAUUUUGCGGCUCAACCGUAAAAUUGCAAUUGAUACUGGCAGUCUUGAGUACAGUUGAGGUAGGCGGAAUUCGUGGUGUAGCGGUGAAAUGCUUAGAUAUCACGAAGAACCCCGAGUGCGAAGGCAGCUUACUAAACUGUGACUGACAUUGAUGCUCGAAAGUGUGGGUAUCAAACAGGAUUAGAUACCCCAGUAGUC